CGGGGGGAAAAAAAUGACGAAUACAUACAAAUUUUUUUCUUGUACAAACAAUUGCCUAUAAAAUGCGGCAGAAAUCAUUUACACUCAAAAACCACUAAUCCUCAAAACCCAACAAACUAUAUAGAAGCAGCCUGGCUAAAAAUAAUAAAAAAAUAUGAACCAAGCCUGUUACAGGCAUGAGAAAAUAUGAGGCAUCAUUGCCGCCUCCUUUGAUUGCACAUUAUCACAUUAUCUGUGAUACGGCAUCUUAACAAAUACCCCUCUUGUUUACAUAACGCGAGGGAAAGANNNNNNNNNNNNNUGAGACUGAUGCAAAUUAUAAUAUACACAUGGAUGGUGAUAAAAUAAUGAGGGUAUAUGCGCAGGUCUUAGCUUGUUCUUGCACAGGGCGUACCAUGGACAUCCAUGAGAACAAGGUUCCGGUACAGGGGUUGAACAUGAACAUCACUCGGAGCGUGGAAGCAAGAACCCAAAACCAGAGUUUUCACGAAUUAAUGGCGGAGGAUCUAUGUCAGCUAUUUCUACUUGUUGCAUUGACUUGGAGAUGUCAUCCACAGUGAAUGGGAUGCUUGAGUCAUCAUCUAACAGAAAAGAACUGCUGACAGCAUUGUUUGAGUCCUCAGUCAUCAUAAUUCUCAUACUAGAUAUAACAUCUGAAGAUACACUAUGCGUGCCAUAUUUG
RNAcentral lists this unclassified non-coding RNA (682 nucleotides) under Hevea brasiliensis (rubber tree). The record is from RNAcentral. Lineage: Eukaryota; Viridiplantae; Streptophyta; Magnoliopsida; Malpighiales; Euphorbiaceae.